This 1579-nucleotide ribosomal RNA is filed under the name metagenome. RNAcentral describes it as "bacterial LSU rRNA". It matches the Rfam family "Bacterial large subunit ribosomal RNA", at positions 1314 to 2925 of the family's 2925-position model. The record is from RNAcentral.
GAGAAAGGUGGGAAUCCUUUCGGCCGAAUAUCUAAGGUUUCCAGAGUAAAGCUGAUCUGCUCUGGGUAAGUCGGGGCCUAAGCACAGGUCGCAAGACGUAAGCGAUGGAUAACAGGUUUAGAUUCCUGUACCACGCAUUAUCAGAACUGUAGGGACGCAUGUGGAAAGCACGGGCCGGGAAUGGAAAGACCGGUACAAGCGGGGUAGGUGUACAAUAGGCAAAUCCGUUGUAUAAUCCGAAGACGUGAUGUGGAGCGAAAUAAAGUAGUGAAGCGUGUGAGCCAUGUGCCGAGAAAAGCUGCUAUUGUGUAAUGCGUGCCCGUACCGUAAACCGACACAGGUGGAUGAGGAGAGAAUCCUAAGGCCGGCCGAAGAAGCAUUGUUAAGGAAUUCGGCAAAAUGACCCCGUAACUUCGGGAGAAGGGGUGCCUGCGAGAGCAGGCCGCAGAGAAUAGGCUCAAGCAACUGUUUAGCAAAAACACAGGUCUAUGCGAAACCGAAAGGUGAAGUAUAUGGGCUGACGCCUGCCCGGUGCUGGAAGGUUAAGAGGAGAGGUUAGCCUCGGCGAAGCUUUGAAUUUAAGCCCCAGUAAACGGCGGCCGUAACAAUAACGGUCCUAAGGUAGCGAAAUUCCUUGUCGGGUAAGUUCCGACCCGCACGAAAGGCGUAAUGAUUUGAGCACUGUCUCGACAAUGCAUCCGGUGAAAUUGAAGUACCAGUGAAGAUGCUGGUUACCCGCGCCAGGACGGAAAGACCCCAUGGAGCUUUACUCCAGUUUGAUACUGGGAUUCGGUACUGCAUGUUCAGGAUAGGUGGGAGACGAAGAAGAUGGACCCAGUCUGUCCGGAGUCGCUGUUGGGAUACCACCCCUGUAGUACUGGGUUUCUAACCAGUUGCCAUGAACUGGCAAUGGGACAAUGUCAAGCGGGGAGUUUGACUGGGGCGGUCGCCUCCGAAAGGGUAUCGGAGGCGCUCAAAGGUUCCCUCAGAAUGGUUGGAAACCAUUUGAAGAGUGCAAAGGCAGAAGGGAGCUUGACUGCGACACCGACGGGUGGAGCAGGUACGAAAGUAGGACUUAGUGAUCCGGUGGUAUAAAGUGGGAUUGCCAUCGCUCAACAGAUAAAAGCUACCCUGGGAUAACAGGCUUAUCACUCCCAAGAGUUCACAUCGACGGAGUGGUUUGGCACCUCGAUGUCGGCUCAUCGCAUCCUGGGGCUGUAGCAGGUCCCAAGGGUUGGGCUGUUCGCCCAUUAAAGCGGUACGCGAGCUGGGUUCAGAACGUCGUGAGACAGUUCGGUCCCUAUCCGGCGCGGGCGGAGGAUAUUUGAGAGGAGCUGUCCUUAGUACGAGAGGACCGGGAUGGACGGACCACUGGUGUAUCUGUUGUCAACGGCAUGGCAGAGUAGCCAAGUCUGGAAGGGAUAAACGCUGAAGGCAUCUAAGCGUGAAGCCCCCCUCAAGAUGAGAUAUCCCUCCUUCGGGAGUAAGACCCCUUGAAGACUACAAGGUAGAUAGGGCAGAGGUGGAAGCAUGGCAACAUGUGGAGCUGACUGUUACUAAUAGGUCGAGGGCUUAAUUA